UGCUCAAAUAGUUUAAGAAAAAUGUUGGUUUGUGGAGCCAAAGAUAUAAGUUAUUAUUUUGGGCAG
Molecule: transfer RNA, 66 nt
Filed under: Plesionika sindoi
Lineage: Eukaryota; Metazoa; Arthropoda; Malacostraca; Decapoda; Pandalidae
Description: tRNA-His
Rfam family: tRNA
About the family: Transfer RNA (tRNA) molecules are approximately 80 nucleotides in length. Their secondary structure includes four short double-helical elements and three loops (D, anti-codon, and T loops).
Source: RNAcentral